RNAcentral lists this ribosomal RNA (303 nucleotides) under uncultured bacterium. Its description in RNAcentral is "partial 16S ribosomal RNA". It matches the Rfam family "Bacterial small subunit ribosomal RNA", at positions 507 to 807 of the family's 1533-position model. The record is from RNAcentral.
AGCAGUCGCCGCGGGAAUACGUAGGGUGCAAGCGUUAAUCAGAAUUACUGGGCGUAAAGCGUGCGCAGGCGGUUAUAUAAGACAGAUGUGAAAUCCCCGGGCUCAACCUGGGAACUGCAUUUGUGACUGUAUAGCUAGAGUACGGCAGAUGGGGAUGGAAUUCCGCGUGUAGCAGUGAAAUGCGUAGAUAUGCGGAGGAACACCGAUGGCGAAGGCAAUCCCCUGGGCCUGUACUGACGCUCAUGCACGAAAGCGUGGGGAGCAAACAGGAUUAGAUACCCCAGUAGUCCCUGUCUCUUAUAC